GUCUUUUUGAGUAUAAUUUAAAGUCGGGCCUGCCCAAUGAGGUUGUUUAAUGGCCGCAGUAUCCUGACUGUGCAAAGGUAGCAUAAUCAUUAGUUUCUUAAUUGGGAGCUGGAAUGAAAGGUUUGAUGAAAAAAGAUCUGUCUCUAUUUAAAUUAAUUAAAAUUUUAUUUUUAAGUAAGAAAGCUUAAAUUUUUAUAGAAGACGAGAAGACCCUAUAGAGUUUUACAAAAGGUUAAUUGUGGUAGUUUAGGUAUCAAAAUAUUAUAGUUAUUUUUUUGUUUAAUUGGGGCGAUUGAAAAAUUUAAUAAACUUUUUUUUUAUUUAAUCAUUAAUAAAUGAAUAAUUGAUCCUUAUUAGUUAAGAUUAUAAAAUUAAAUUACCUUAGGGAUAACAGCGUAAUUUUUUUAAGAGUUCUUAUCGAAAAAAAAGAUUGCGACCUCGAUGUUGGAUUAAAAGAAAAUAUUGGUGUAGAAGCUAAUAGAUUUGGUCUGUUCGACCAUUAAAAUUUUACAUGAUCUGAGUUUAAACCGGUGUGAG
Molecule: ribosomal RNA, 537 nt
Filed under: Setarhynchus sp. ARC5133
Lineage: Eukaryota; Metazoa; Arthropoda; Insecta; Coleoptera; Curculionidae
Description: partial 16S large subunit ribosomal RNA
Rfam family: Bacterial large subunit ribosomal RNA
Source: RNAcentral